UGGACGAUUCAUCUGUUCUUAGCCCAAUCUCUCUUCUCACCAUAGCCAUUCUCUUGUUCAUUCUCAACCUCAUGAUGAUAAUCCAAGACUUCUCUUCGUAUUUUCCCUAUCCUCUCCAUCUCUUCUUCUAUAAUGCCUACAUUCUUUUUGCGUCAACAAGAAACAAGAAGCAAAAUAUGACUGAGCUCCUGAUCAUAAAGAAAGGUUUUGUCCCUACUCGAGUAGAUAACAAGAUGUCAGUGGAAGAAGUCAAGGCGAUGAUCGAUGACUCGGAAGCUUUAUACGAACGUUUGAUAGAAGAAGGAGAAGAAUACUUGCUUGAGAAGAGUGAGAUGAUGGGUAAGGAGAUAGUGAAGAGGGCGUUUAGAUUGUUUGAUGAGAAUCAAGAUGGGUUUAUAGAUGAAAAUGAGUUGAAACAUGUUUUGUGUUUAUUAGGAUACGAUGAGUGUACAAAGAUGGAGUGUAGGAGGAUGAUUAAGGUUUUUGAUGAGAAUAGAGAUGGGAAAAUUGAUUUUUAUGAGUUCGUGAAGCUCAUAGAUAAGAGUUUUUCUUGAAACAUAUACCGAAACAAUAGUUAAUUAUGUUGGUGACUAAUUGAGGACAGAGGACCUGUCUAAUAUACUUCUUUUUUUUUUGUCGUCGUCGUCUAAUUAACUUAUUUUUGUUUAUAUAUUCAUUGCUCUGUAAAUUUUGUAGAAAGUGAUAAUACAAGAGGAAUUAUUCAGGUAUCCGACUACACAAGGAGUCUUAAGCUUCAUAAGAGUUAUAAUAACGAAUAUUCAACAUGUAACAACGUAAAUUAAAAUUCGUGAUGACUUUGUAUGGUUUUGAAUAUUCAUUAUCAUGAAUUUGGUUUUGGAUGCCGUCUUAUUUUCUAUAUUAUGAAGAAAUAGUCGUAAUCUGUAUGUAUAACAAAAAGUAUACCAAAAAACCCUCAAAUUUUCAUUGUAUAUCAUUCAAAUUAAUAACGGCCCAUAAAAUAAAAUCAUUCCAAUUAAUAAUAUGUCAUAAACCAUGUGAACUCUGGUUCAGUUUCAUCGGUUUAAUAUUUUUAACAUUUUUUUGUUUGUUUUGUCAACACUUUUUUUUUGUCAACUAAGAAGGAAAAUACUUCCUAUCUUAGAUGAUUAUGAGAGAAUCGGACUUUGGAUUUAGGUUCCACUUUGCCAAUUCAUUUCCAUUUGAUUGGUUGAGGAGAAUUCUCAGUCCAGUAUAAUAUUUUUAUCCAAAUUAAUGACACGUGAUAUGAAAAUGGACCCCACACUAUCUUAUUCCGACCAAUCUCAAAGAACUUAAAAAUCCUCAAAGAUACGCUACCAAGAUAAACCGAUAAGCCUUUACCUCACCUCAACUCCAUCUCAUCCGUAUAAUCAACCACGUCAUAUGAUCCAACGGUGGAUACUCAGUCACUAAACCACAGCCACAAACAAAGAAAAAAAAUCUCAAAUAAACUUACAAAUCCCUCAAAGUCUAUUUCUUCACAAUCAUCUCCAAACACAUCUUUCAAUCUCUUGAUUCAAACAUUUCUCUUCUGUUUUCUCGGGUCGGAUCAGGUGUAGGGAACAUGGCGACUGUCACUACUCAAGCCUCGGCCUCGAUCUUCCGACCAUGUACCUCGAAGCCAAGGUUCCUUACCGGUUCUUCCGGUAGAUUGAACCGCGAGUUGUCGUUUAAAUCGAUCGGCUCAUCCUCAAAAACGGCGUCGUUCAAGGUUGAAGCUAAGAAAGGAGAAUGGUUGCCCGGUUUGGCAUCCCCUGGUUAUCUCAACGGCAGGUAAUUGUUUCACAAACUACAUUCAAUUUUGGUUUAACACAACUGAACUGAUUGCAUAAUUGGUUAGUUUUCGAUACCGGUUUAGCUAAUGUGUAUGCUGUAUAAUUGUAUAAUUUACAAAAAUCCGACCAACUAAAUAAAUCAAUUUGGUUUGGUUAAUUUAGACCGGUUCUCUCCGGUAUUACCGGUUUAGCUAAUGGUCACUCUCAUUUGCAAAUUGUAGUCUUGCUGGUUAGUUUUCGCUACCGGUUUAGUUAAUGUGUAUGCUGUUUUAUUGUAAUUUACAAAAAUCCGACCAAAUGAAUAAUCAAUUUUGGUUUGGUUAAUUUAGAACCGGUUCUGUCCGGUAUUACCGGUUUAGCUAAUUGUCACUCUCUUUUGCAAAUUGUAGUCUUGCUGGUGACAAUGGGUUUGACCCCUUGGGACUAGCAGAGGAUCCAGAGAACUUGAAAUGGUUCGUCCAAGCAGAGCUUGUCAACGGACGGUGGGCUAUGCUCGGCGUCGCAGGGAUGCUUUUGCCGGAAGUUUUCACCAAGAUCGGUGAGUCACCAUUAUAACAUGAAACCAUUUGUAACAUUUCUUUCAAGAACUUAACACAGAGAUUUUCUUGAAACUGGUCACUGUUGGUAGGAAUCAUUAACGUUCCGGAGUGGUACGACGCUGGAAAAGAGCAGUACUUUGCAUCAUCGUCGACAUUGUUCGUGAUCGAAUUUAUCUUGUUCCAUUACGUUGAGAUCAGACGGUGGCAAGACAUCAAGAACCCAGGAAGUGUGAACCAAGACCCAAUCUUCAAGCAAUACAGCUUGCCUCCAAAUGAAGUUGGUUAUCCAGGAGGAAUCUUUAACCCUCUUAACUUUGCUCCCACGGUCGAGGCCAAGGAGAAAGAGCUCGCAAACGGUAAAGCUAAUCCUAUUUCACGCAAGAAAGUGAUAGUUAAGAGUUAAAGAGGCUAAAGACCGUUUUCUGUUGUUGUUUGUUGUUGUUGCAGGGAGGUUGGCAAUGUUGGCAUUCUUAGGGUUUGUGAUUCAACACAAUGUUACUGGAAAGGGACCAUUUGAGAAUCUGUUGCAGCACUUGUCUGACCCAUGGCACAACACUAUUGUCCAAACCCUUAGCUGAAGAUUUUAAGAC
Molecule: long non-coding RNA, 2904 nt
Filed under: Eutrema salsugineum
Lineage: Eukaryota; Viridiplantae; Streptophyta; Magnoliopsida; Brassicales; Brassicaceae
Description: long non-coding RNA (ESAL_LNC001407)
Source: RNAcentral